RNAcentral lists this non-coding RNA (49 nucleotides) under Trypanosoma brucei brucei. The record is from RNAcentral. Lineage: Eukaryota; Euglenozoa; Kinetoplastea; Trypanosomatida; Trypanosomatidae.
UAUAAAAUAACAUAAUUGUGGUCUCGAUGGUUGUAUGAUAGUAUAAUUU